GCCCCAGUAGCUCAGAGGAUAGAGCAGCGGUUUCCUAAACCGUUGGUCGCAGGUUCAACUCCUGCCUGGGGUA
This 73-nucleotide transfer RNA is filed under the name bacterium. RNAcentral describes it as "tRNA-Arg". It matches the Rfam family "tRNA". From Rfam's summary of the family: Transfer RNA (tRNA) molecules are approximately 80 nucleotides in length. Their secondary structure includes four short double-helical elements and three loops (D, anti-codon, and T loops). The record is from RNAcentral. RNAcentral also lists the same sequence under 1 other name.